GACCUAAUGGCGAAUGGAUCGCUCCUACCUCGUAUAACUUUUCUUGCAGAGCUCCGAGCUGAAAUGUGGGAAUCCUGGUUCGAAUCCAGGUUAGGUCG
Non-coding RNA from Mycena leptocephala, 98 nucleotides. NCBI's taxonomy places the organism in Eukaryota, Fungi, Basidiomycota, Agaricomycetes, Agaricales, Mycenaceae. The record is from the annotation of a GenBank genome assembly.